This 328-nucleotide ribosomal RNA is filed under the name uncultured eukaryote. RNAcentral describes it as "partial 18S ribosomal RNA". It matches the Rfam family "Eukaryotic small subunit ribosomal RNA", at positions 1470 to 1796 of the family's 1831-position model. The record is from RNAcentral.
CCCUUAGAUGUCCGGGGCUGCACGCGCGCUACACUGAAGGAAUCAGCGUGCUAAAACCAUUGUCGAAAGGCAUUGGUAAACCCAUUAAAAUCCUACGUGAUUGGGAUCGGGAAUUGCAAUUAUUUCCCUUGAACGAGGAAUUCCCAGUAAGUGUGGGUCAUAAGCUCGCGUUGAUUACGUCCCUGCCCUUUGUACACACCGCCCGUCGUUGCCCGGGACUGAGCCGUUUCGAGAAAAGCGGGGACUGCUGCUGUCGGGGCUUUCGGGCCUUGGCUUCGGUGGAAACCGCUUUAAUCGCAGUGGCUUGAACCGGGCAAAAGUCGUANCA